This is a long non-coding RNA of Gallus gallus (chicken), 414 nucleotides long. RefSeq lists it as uncharacterized. NCBI's taxonomy places the organism in Eukaryota, Metazoa, Chordata, Aves, Galliformes, Phasianidae. The transcript is spliced from 3 exons. The record is from RefSeq and is a predicted model, not a curated record.
AACUGCAGUGCAAACAACAACACUGGCUACUACAUCAACUCUGUCAAUCAGUUAGUGCAGCAGUGGAGAAAGAGGCUGCAGGAGCUGAAGGCUUUAAAUGGCUCGGGAAAAGCAGCGAUGCAGAAUGGCGGUGGAGGAGGAGGAGGAAUGGGUGCUGCUACCCAGAGAAACACAAACCUUAUCAGGCCAGCCAUGUUCCAACACACGGCAGGAGGAGGAGCAGGAGCAGGAGGAGGAGGAACAGGAGGAGGAAUGGGUGCUUCUAGCCAGACAAACACCAACCUUAUCCAGCCAGCCAUGUUCCAGCACACGGCAGCAGGUGGAGGAGGAGCUGGAGGAGGAAUGGGUACCACUACCCAGAGAAACAAAAACCUUAUCAGGCCAGCCAUGUUCCAGCACACGGCAGGAGGUGGA